GCAGUCGAGCGGACAGAAGGGAGCUUGCUCCCGGAUGUUAGCGGCGGACGGGUGAGUAACACGUGGGUAACCUGCCUGUAAGACUGGGAUAACUCCGGGAAACCGGAGCUAAUACCGGAUAGUUCCUUGAACCGCAUGGUUCAAGGAUGAAAGACGGUUUCGGCUGUCACUUACAGAUGGACCCGCGGCGCAUUAGCUAGUUGGUGAGGUAACGGCUCACCAAGGCGACGAUGCGUAGCCGACCUGAGAGGGUGAUCGGCCACACUGGGACUGAGACACGGCCCAGACUCCUACGGGAGGCAGCAGUAGGGAAUCUUCCGCAAUGGACGAAAGUCUGACGGAGCAACGCCGCGUGAGUGAUGAAGGUUUUCGGAUCGUAAAGCUCUGUUGUUAGGGAAGAACAAGUGCAAGAGUAACUGCUUGCACCUUGACGGUACCUAACCAGAAAGCCACGGCUAACUACGUGCCAGCAGCCGCGGUAAUACGUAGGUGGCAAGCGUUGUCCGGAAUUAUUGGGCGUAAAGGGCUCGCAGGCGGUUUCUUAAGUCUGAUGUGAAAGCCCCCGGCUCAACCGGGGAGGGUCAUUGGAAACUGGGAAACUUGAGUGCAGAAGAGGAGAGUGGAAUUCCACGUGUAGCGGUGAAAUGCGUAGAGAUGUGGAGGAACACCAGUGGCGAAGGCGACUCUCUGGUCUGUAACUGACGCUGAGGAGCGAAAGCGUGGGGAGCGAACAGGAUUAGAUACCCUGGUAGUCCACGCCGUAAACGAUGAGUGCUAAGUGUUAGGGGGUUUCCGCCCCUUAGUGCUGCAGCUAACGCAUUAAGCACUCCGCCUGGGGAGUACGGUCGCAAGACUGAAACUCAAAGGAAUU
RNAcentral lists this ribosomal RNA (871 nucleotides) under Bacillus aerius. RNAcentral describes it as "bacterial SSU rRNA". It matches the Rfam family "Bacterial small subunit ribosomal RNA", at positions 57 to 911 of the family's 1533-position model. The record is from RNAcentral. Lineage: Bacteria; Bacillati; Bacillota; Bacilli; Caryophanales; Bacillaceae.